Long non-coding RNA from Arabidopsis lyrata subsp. lyrata, 458 nucleotides. RefSeq lists it as uncharacterized. The record is from RefSeq and is a predicted model, not a curated record. The transcript has 2 exons. Lineage: Eukaryota; Viridiplantae; Streptophyta; Magnoliopsida; Brassicales; Brassicaceae.
ACAAAAACCCUAAUUCUUCUUUUUUCUUUAAUACAUGUUUCUUCUCGAAAUCUCUUACCGAGAGAAUCGUCGAUCUCGAGACCAUCAAGCCGAUCGAUGCGAAUCCGACAAAGUCACAGACAAAUCCCGUCGGAACUGUAACUCGAAAGAUGUCUCGUGUUUGAUCAAUCAGAACGAUUCCAAGUCGGGUCUCUCUAAUCUCACAAGAGCGAAAGAUCUCGCCACUGUUCAAGAGCAUAUGCGAUUAACACUGGCAUUGGCGACGGUAGCUACUGAGAACGAGGACUUUGUAGCAUAAUCGAAUUUCUAUGGAGUGGAGUCGCUUGAGGAUGGAUGAAGAAGAAGAUCAAAACUGAGUUUCGUGACAUACGACAAAGAGAAGGUGCAGUGAAGGCUAACUAAUGGGCCUUGGCAAUUAGGCUUUUCGUACUCCUCACUAGUACCCAAAUCCAAACCAG